RNAcentral lists this ribosomal RNA (262 nucleotides) under uncultured bacterium. RNAcentral describes it as "partial 16S ribosomal RNA". It matches the Rfam family "Bacterial small subunit ribosomal RNA", at positions 9 to 260 of the family's 1533-position model. The record is from RNAcentral.
GAGUUUGAUCGAUGGCUCAGGACGAACGCUGGCGGCGUGCCUAACACAUGCAAGUCGAGCGGAGACAGUGAGUAGCUUGCUAUGAGCUGUUUUAGCGGCGGACGGGUGAGUAACGCGUGAGCAACCUUUACCCAGACAGGGGAAUAACACACCGAAAGGUGUACUAAUACCGCAUAAGACCACGGGAUCACAUGGUUCUGGGGGUAAAAGAUUUAUCGGUUUGGGGUGGGCUCGCGUCCGAGUUAGGUAGUUGGUGAGGUAA